RNAcentral lists this unclassified non-coding RNA (349 nucleotides) under soil metagenome. RNAcentral's name for it is "partial contains 5.8S ribosomal RNA, internal transcribed spacer 2, and large subunit ribosomal RNA". The stretch from base 1 to 121 matches the Rfam family "5.8S ribosomal RNA", at positions 35 to 154 of the family's 154-position model. The record is from RNAcentral.
GAUGAAGAACGCUAGCGAAAUGCGAUAAGUAAUGUGAAUUGCAGAAUUCAGUGAAUCAUCGAAUCUUUGAACGCACAUUGCGCCCGCCAGUAUUCUGGCGGGCAUGCCUGUCUGAGCGUCAUUUCAACCCUCAUGCCCCUAGGGCGUGGUGUUGGGGAUCGGCCAAAGCCCGCGAGGGACGGCCGGCCCCUAAAUCUAGUGGCGGACCCGUCGUGGCCUCCUCUGCGAAGUAGUGAUAUUCCGCAUCGGAGAGCGACGAGCCCCUGCCGUUAAACCCCCAACUUUCCAAGGUUGACCUCAGAUCAGGUAGGAAUACCCGCUGAACUUAAGCAUAUCAAUAAGCGGAGGA